AUGGUUUUAGCGCGCGCUACCGUUUCCGGCGCUUCAGCGGACGAGCAAAACUGCGCGCGCGGCAUAUGUAAUUCAGGGCGCGGGCGGAAACGCCAUCGCGUGCGCGGCAUAUGUAAUUCAGCGCGCGGGCGGAAACGCUAUCGCGCACCGCUUAUUUGCUGCGCCCAUUCCUGCGCGCUAGACUCUCGAGCGCUCGCGUGCACCUUCAUCUCCCAUCCAGCCGUGCCGCCGCGGCUGCCCACGUCACCCCAUUUUUCUGGUGGCCGUUCCGGCGCUUCCCUGGUCUCUUCCCACGCGGCCACGGCUUCCUCCCAUCGCGCGCGGCCGUCUCCAAAGAACAGCGCCCGGCCGCCCAUCCCCGCUUUGGCGCCCGCAAGGUGUUCGAUAAAAGGCCCGCAAGGUAUGUAUUGA
RNAcentral lists this ribosomal RNA (411 nucleotides) under Triticum aestivum (bread wheat). RNAcentral's name for it is "partial small subunit ribosomal RNA". The record is from RNAcentral. Lineage: Eukaryota; Viridiplantae; Streptophyta; Magnoliopsida; Poales; Poaceae.